Molecule: ribosomal RNA, 241 nt
Filed under: uncultured bacterium
Lineage: Bacteria
Description: partial 16S ribosomal RNA
Rfam family: Bacterial small subunit ribosomal RNA
Source: RNAcentral
GAUCCUGGCUCAGGAUGAACGCUGGCGGCGUGCUUAACACAUGCAAGUCGAGCGAAGCACUUAGGAAAGAUUCUUCGGAUGAUUUCCUAUUUGACUGAGCGGCGGACGGGUGAGUAACGCGUGGGUAACCUGCCUCAUACAGGGGGAUAACAGUUAGAAAUGACUGCUAAUACCGCAUAAGACCACAGCACCGCAAUGGUGCAGGGGUAAAACUCCGGUGGUAUGAGAUGGACCCCGCGUU